GGAGAAAUACUCAAGAGGCCGAAGAGGCGCCCCUGCUAAGGGUGUAGGUCGGGAAACCGGCGCGAGGGUUCAAAUCCCUCUUUCUCCGC
RNAcentral lists this transfer RNA (89 nucleotides) under Enterocloster clostridioformis. RNAcentral describes it as "[Clostridium] clostridioforme tRNA-Ser(gct)". It matches the Rfam family "tRNA". From Rfam's summary of the family: Transfer RNA (tRNA) molecules are approximately 80 nucleotides in length. Their secondary structure includes four short double-helical elements and three loops (D, anti-codon, and T loops). Lineage: Bacteria; Bacillati; Bacillota; Clostridia; Lachnospirales; Lachnospiraceae. RNAcentral also lists the same sequence under 4 other names. The record is from RNAcentral.